AGUGAACGCUGGCGGUAGGCCUAACACAUGCAAGUCGAACGGCAGCACAGGAGAGCUUGCUCUCUGGGUGGCGAGUGGCGGACGGGUGAGGAAUACAUCGGAAUCUACUUUUUCGUGGGGGAUAACGUAGGGAAACUUACGCUAAUACCGCAUACGACCUACGGGUGAAAGCAGGGGACCUUCGGGCCUUGCGCGAUUGAAUGAGCCGAUGUCGGAUUAGCUAGUUGGCGGGGUAAAGGCCCACCAAGGCGACGAUCCGUAGCUGGUCUGAGAGGAUGAUCAGCCACACUGGAACUGAGACACGGUCCAGACUCCUACGGGAGUAAGCAGUGGGGAAUAUUGGACAAUGGGCGCAAGCCUGAUCCAGCCAUACCGAGUGGGUGAAGAAGGCCUUCUGGUUGUAAAGCCCUUUUGUUGGGAAAGAAAUCCAGCUGGCUAAUACCCGGUUGGGAUGACGGUACCCAAAGAAUAAGCACCGGCUAACUUCGUGCCAGCCGCCGCCGUAA
RNAcentral lists this ribosomal RNA (506 nucleotides) under uncultured bacterium. RNAcentral's name for it is "partial 16S ribosomal RNA". It matches the Rfam family "Bacterial small subunit ribosomal RNA", at positions 29 to 523 of the family's 1533-position model. The record is from RNAcentral.